UUGAACGCUGGCGGCAGGCCUAACACAUACACGUCGAGCGGAUGAAGGGAGCUUGCUCCUGGAUUCAGCGGCGGACGGGUGAGUAAUGCCUAGGAAUCUGCCUGGUAGUGGGGGAUAACGUCCGGAAACGGGCGCUAAUACCGCAUACGUCCUGAGGGAGAAAGUGGGGGAUCUUCGGACCUCACGCUAUCAGAUGAGCCUAGGUCGGAUUAGCUAGUUGGUGGGGUAAAGGCCUACCAAGGCGACGAUCCGUAACUGGUCUGAGAGGAUGAUCAGUCACACUGGAACUGAGACACGGUCCAGACUCCUACGGGAGGCAGCAGUGGGGAAUAUUGGACAAUGGGCGAAAGCCUGAUCCAGCCAUGCCGCGUGUGUGAAGAAGGUCUUCGGAUUGUAAAGCACUUUAAGUUGGGAGGAAGGGCAGUAAGUUAAUACCUUGCUGUUUUGACGUUACCAACAGAAUAAGCACCGGCUAACUUCGUG
This 483-nucleotide ribosomal RNA is filed under the name uncultured bacterium. RNAcentral describes it as "partial 16S ribosomal RNA". It matches the Rfam family "Bacterial small subunit ribosomal RNA", at positions 30 to 507 of the family's 1533-position model. The record is from RNAcentral.